GAACGCAACUUGCGCUCUCUGGUAUUCCGGAGAGCAUGCCUGUUUGAGUAUCAUGAAAUCUCAACCAUUAGGGUUUCUUAAUGGCUUGGAAUUGGGUGUUGCCAGUCCCCUGGCUCGCCUUAAAAGAGUUAGCGUGUUUAACUUGUCUAUCUGGCGUAAUAAGUUUCGCUGGUGUCGGCUUGAGAAGUACGCUUCUAAUCGUCUUCGGACAAUUCUUGAACUCUGGUCUGAAAUCAGGUAGGGCUACCCGCUGAACUUAAG
Molecule: unclassified non-coding RNA, 261 nt
Filed under: Cutaneotrichosporon moniliiforme
Lineage: Eukaryota; Fungi; Basidiomycota; Tremellomycetes; Trichosporonales; Trichosporonaceae
Description: sequence contains 5.8S rRNA gene
Rfam family: 5.8S ribosomal RNA (bases 1-53)
Source: RNAcentral